Molecule: ribosomal RNA, 591 nt
Filed under: Triticum aestivum (bread wheat)
Lineage: Eukaryota; Viridiplantae; Streptophyta; Magnoliopsida; Poales; Poaceae
Description: partial small subunit ribosomal RNA
Source: RNAcentral
AUGUCUGCGGCUGUGAUGCAGGCCACAGCGCCCGUAGGGCGCAGCGGCGGAGCGGAGAUUGCGUACGUUAGCUACGGCGGUGAGCAGCACCUCUCACUGGUGAUGUCGCUGGUGGACGCGGAGCUCAGCGAACCCUACUCCAUCUUCACCUACCGCUACUUCGUCUACCUUUGGCCACAGCUCACCUUGCUCGCGUUUGAUGCCAAGGAUGGUAAGUGCGUGGGGACAGUGGUUUGCAAGAUGGGGGAGCACAGAGGCGCCUUCAGGGGGUACAUCGCCAUGCUCGUCGUCCUCAAGCCCUACCGAGGACGAGGAAUCGCAACUGAGCUGGUUACUAGAGCCAUUCGGGUAAUGAUGGAAUCUGGUUGUGAGGAGGUGACACUUGAAGCAGAGGUUACAAACAAGGGUGCCCUCGCUCUGUAUGGCCGCCUAGGUUUUAUCCGAGCAAAGAGGCUGUAUAGAUACUAUCUAAAUGGCGUGGAUGCUUUUCGCCUCAAAUUACUGUUUCCACGCCCCGAUCUUGGUCUAGAUCCAAUGAUGAUGCUUGGUGACGAGAGGGAUGGUCAACACAUGGAUUCCCCUUACUUGUGA